This 392-nucleotide ribosomal RNA is filed under the name uncultured bacterium. Its description in RNAcentral is "bacterial SSU rRNA". It matches the Rfam family "Bacterial small subunit ribosomal RNA", at positions 28 to 417 of the family's 1533-position model. The record is from RNAcentral.
GACGAACGCUGGCGGCGUGCUUAACACAUGCAAGUCGAGCGGUAAGGCCCUUUCGGGGGUACGACGAGCGGCGAACGGGUGAGUAACACGUGGGUGACCUGCCCUCCAGCUCUGGGAUAAGCCUGGGAAACCGGGGUACUAAUACCGGAUAUGACUCCAUGACGCAUGUUGUGGGGUGGAAAGCCUUGUGCGGCUGAGGAUGGGCCCGCGGCCUAUCAGCUUGUUGGUGGGGUGAUGGCCUACCAAGGCGACGACGGGUAGCCGGCCUGAGAGGGCGACCGGCCACACUGGGACUGAGACACGGCCCAGACUCCUACGGGAGGCAGCAGUGGGGAAUCUUGCGCAAUGGGCGAAAGCCUGAUGGAGCGACGCCGCGUGCAGGAUGACGGCCU